CCUCUGCUUAUUCUACUACAUCCCAGAAAUAUUGCUUGUGCAUAGUCUUCAACUUAUUCUUUAGCGUCUUAACGUUUGCCAUAUAAUAUGACCUAACCACUUGCCACAUAGUGUGACCCUUCAUAGGCCUACUCCAAAUCUCCCUUACCUUAUCCAUGAAACUAGGAUGUGUGGCCUAGACAUUACAAUGGCACUUCUCUUUUACAGCUUCCACCUUCUAGUAAUUCCACCUUGACCGAGUAAUAAUCACUAGCCCCCUCUAGUAGAAAAUUUGCUAAUAUAAUUGGGCAUAUAAGUCAUCCAAUCAUGAUUCGCUAGUACCCAAUCUAUUCUUGAAAACACUCUAGUUGCAUUAUGCUUGUCAUUUCAAGUGUAUCUACACUCCUUAACAGGUAGUACCAUCAGCUCACACAAUUUUGAAAAUCCAGAACUUCAGGCACAAUAACUGGACUUCCACCAUAUCUAUCAUUCAUAUUUAACACAUUGUUAAAAGUCCUCCAUUGAUAGCCAUAGAUCAGAGCAUCCUUGUUUUACUCUUUCCAGAUAACUCCAAAGACUUUUUCUCUCUACUUUGUUACUCCCUCCAUUUCAUAAUAAAUGA
RNAcentral lists this long non-coding RNA (601 nucleotides) under Capsicum annuum. Its description in RNAcentral is "long non-coding RNA (CANN_LNC014784)". Lineage: Eukaryota; Viridiplantae; Streptophyta; Magnoliopsida; Solanales; Solanaceae. The record is from RNAcentral.